Molecule: unclassified non-coding RNA, 372 nt
Filed under: uncultured fungus
Lineage: Eukaryota; Fungi
Description: partial contains small subunit ribosomal RNA, internal transcribed spacer 1, and 5.8S ribosomal RNA
Rfam family: Eukaryotic small subunit ribosomal RNA (bases 1-73)
Source: RNAcentral
UCAAACUUGGUCAUUUAGAGGAAGUAAAAGUCGUAACAAGGUUUCCGUAGGUGAACCUGCGGAAGGAUCAUUAAAAAGGAAAUUACACAUGAAUCUCCUCUUUUUAAGCGGAGGUUCAAAUGUAAACUCUUGUGCACUUAAUUUUUUGGUAGUCGUUUCCUUUUUUCGAAAGAGAAAAGGCGAAUGGUUCCUCUGAAACGGAGAACCAGAAGACUACCAAAAGGUUUAAAACUCUUAAAAAUAUAUUGUAGUGUUAUUUUUUUUACAAAAUAACAUAAUGUCUGAUGUGUUUGAUUAUAAACUUGUUUUAUAAUUAAAAUUACAACUUUUGACAACGGAUCUCUUGGCUCUCGCAUCGAUGAAGAACGCAGC